AUACUGCCAGACUGGAACCGGAGAGGUAGAGGUACUACAGGGGUAGGAGUGAAAUCUUGUAAUCCCUGUGGGACCACCUGUGGCGAAGGCGUCUUACCAGAACGGGUUCGACGGUGAGGGACGAAAGCUGGGGGCACGAACCGGAUUAGAUACCCGGGUAGUCCCAGCCGUAAACGAUGCUCGCUAGGUGUCAGGCAUGGCGCGACCGUGUCUGGUGCCGCAGGGAAGCCGUGAAGCGAGCCACCUGGGAAGUACGGCCGCAAGGCUGAAACUUAAAGGAAUUGGCGGGGGAGCACAACAACGGGUGGAGCCCUGCGGUUUAAUUGGACUCAACGCCGGACAACUCACCGGGGGCGACAGCAAUAUGUAGGCCAAGCUGAAGACUUUGCCUGAAUCGCUGAGUAGUGGUGCAUGG
This 415-nucleotide ribosomal RNA is filed under the name uncultured archaeon. RNAcentral describes it as "bacterial SSU rRNA". It matches the Rfam family "Archaeal small subunit ribosomal RNA", at positions 581 to 997 of the family's 1478-position model. The record is from RNAcentral.